CGAGGGAGCACUAUACAAUCUGCUCUCACGGGAUAUUAGUAUACGCCCCGGCUUACGGGAGUGGUUUCUGAGACACCCUUUUGAUAGAAUUUCCCCUAGAAAAAUGAUGAUAUAGCUUUGCAUGCCCUUCUUUCCUUGGAUAUCCGAUACCAAUUAAGCCUUUCCUUCAAAGCAUGGACUCGCUCCAGCUUCCCCUCGAUGAAGUACCCAAUAAUCUGGUGGAAGAAACUUCCAUUUAAGGAAAGUAGCUCUGGUUCACUGUUUCCAUGGCGUGAGCGGAACUAUUUGCACGGCCCACCUUGCAAAGACUCUUAUUUCAAUGGUGCCACACCAACUUCUACCGUUAAUAUGCUACUUUCCCUCAAACCAAUACCUAAAAACCAGUUUGAAAUGAACCUUCCAUUUAAUGAAAAUGACACUAUUUCAGAGCUCCCAUGGCAAAAACCGCAUAACUUAUCCGACCCAAUGGCAAAUUCACCACUAUCAAAGGGCCCAUCAAAGGGCUUAGGAAACCCCGAAAAUAAGAAGUGGCAACAAGUGUUACCUACACUUUCCUUCCUAAGAAAGAUACUGCUCCAUGGCUGAGAGGUCCACUUCUAUUGCCUGCUGACGAUGUGUUGGAUUUAUCCAAAAGUAGAAAAAAUAAAGUAAUGAAAAGAAUUCAGAUGAUAAAGCUCUUACUGGAGGAGAUCGGGGAGGAAGGAGCAAGCAUGCAAUACAUUUAAUUAUGGAAAACAUCACAAAACUGAAGGAGAUUCAUGAAGAAAAUGAGCAAAAGAAAGAAAACCACAUUGUUUUAUCAGAUGAAGUAGCCAUUCCAAGCAAAAUUAAAUCUAGUUUUAGUGAGGGGGCCACAAAUUCAAUAGUGGCAAGUUUAAUUUACCAUUGAAGGAAGUAUCUGUUAGUGAAGACCAAGGUAUGAAAACCAUAUUGCCAUGGACAUUGGCUGAAAAGAUUGUUUCUCGAAGAGUGAAGGAGGAAAAGACUCCAACUAAAGCAGAAUUGAGCUUACCAGAGCCUCUUCUACAAGGUUGAGAGAUCAAGCUCGGACAUUGGCAAAAUGGGUUAAAAUGAAGAAGGCAGGUGUAACUCAAGAAGCAAUGAAUGAAAUAUAUGCUGUUUGGAAGAGUAGGGAACUUUCUAUACUCAAGUUUUAUGUGCCAUUAUGCAGGAACAUGGAUAGAGCGACAGAAUUCGGGGAGGUUGGUUAAACUGGCUCCGUUUUACGUAUUUUAUUUCUACUGCUUAAUUAUGUCAGACAUGAAUUGGAAGG
This is an RNA transcript of Amborella trichopoda, 1273 nucleotides long. RefSeq lists it as uncharacterized. The record is from RefSeq and is a predicted model, not a curated record. NCBI's taxonomy places the organism in Eukaryota, Viridiplantae, Streptophyta, Magnoliopsida, Amborellales, Amborellaceae.